This 253-nucleotide ribosomal RNA is filed under the name uncultured bacterium. Its description in RNAcentral is "partial 16S ribosomal RNA". It matches the Rfam family "Bacterial small subunit ribosomal RNA", at positions 524 to 776 of the family's 1533-position model. The record is from RNAcentral.
UACGUAGGGCGCGAGCGUUAUCCGGAAUUAUUGGGCGUAAAGAGCUCGUAGGCGGUUUGUCACGUCUGCUGUGAAAACUGGAGGCUCAACCUCCAGCCUGCAGUGGGUACGGGCAGACUAGAGUGCGGUAGGGGAGAUUGGAAUUCCUGGUGUAGCGGUGGAAUGCGCAGAUAUCAGGAGGAACACCGAUGGCGAAGGCAGAUCUCUGGGCCGUAACUGACGCUGAGACGCGAAAGCGUGGGGAGCAAACAGG